GACGAACGCUGGCGGCGUGCUUAACACAUGCAAGUCGAACGGAAAGACGCUGCUUUUGUUGGGUGCUCGAGUGGCGAACGGGGGAGUAACACGUGAGUAUCAUGUCCUUGACUGUGGGAUAACUUCAGGAAAAUGGGGCGAAUAUAGGAUAGAAGCUCUUGCUGCAUGGGGUGGGAUGGAGAGUGUCGGCGUUUGUGGCUGGACUCGCGGCUUAUCAGCUGGUUGGUCGGGUAGUGGCGUAACAAGGAUUUGACGGGUAGCCGGCCUGGGAGGGUGACCGGCCACAUUGGGAUUGGGAUACGGCCAGGACUCAUACGGGAGGCAGGAGUGGAGAAUAUUGCACGCUGCGCCGAGGGCUGAUGCAGCAACGCCGCGUGCGGGAUGACGGCCUUCGGGUUGUAAACAGCGUUCGCGUGAGACGAAGCGUGAGUGACGGAAAUGGGUAAAGAAGCACCGGUUAACUACGU
RNAcentral lists this ribosomal RNA (467 nucleotides) under uncultured bacterium. Its description in RNAcentral is "partial 16S ribosomal RNA". It matches the Rfam family "Bacterial small subunit ribosomal RNA", at positions 28 to 506 of the family's 1533-position model. The record is from RNAcentral.